RNAcentral lists this non-coding RNA (24 nucleotides) under Cricetulus griseus (Chinese hamster). Lineage: Eukaryota; Metazoa; Chordata; Mammalia; Rodentia; Cricetidae. The record is from RNAcentral.
UCUCAGGCUGACUGUGCUGUCCUG